UCGAAACCGCAUGGUUUUGAUUUGAAAGGCGCUUUCGGGUGUCGCUGAUGGAUGGACCCGCGGUGCAUUAGCUAGUUGGUGAGGUAACGGCUCACCAAGGCCACGAUGCAUAGCCGACCUGAGAGGGUGAUCGGCCACAUUGGGACUGAGACACGGCCCAAACUCCUACGGGAGGCAGCAGUAGGGAAUCUUCGGCAAUGGACGAAAGUCUGACCGAGCAACGCCGCGUGAGUGAAGAAGGUUUUCGGAUCGUAAAACUCUGUUGUUAGAGAAGAACAAGGAUGAGAGUAACUGUUCAUCCCUUGACGGUAUCUAACCAGAAAGCCACGGCUAACUACGUGCCAGCAGCCGCGGUAAUACGUAGGUGGCAAGCGUUGUCCGGAUUUAUUGGGCGUAAAGCGAGCGCAGGCGGUUUCUUAAGUCUGAUGUGAAAGCCCCCGGCUCAACCGGGGAGGGUCAUUGGAAACUGGGAGACUUGAGUGCAGAAGAGGAGAGUGGAAUUCCAUGUGUAGCGGUGAAAUGCGUAGAUAUAUGGAGGAACACCAGUGGCGAAGGCGGCUCUCUGGUCUGUAACUGACGCUGAGGCUCG
RNAcentral lists this ribosomal RNA (589 nucleotides) under Enterococcus sp. RNAcentral describes it as "bacterial SSU rRNA". It matches the Rfam family "Bacterial small subunit ribosomal RNA", at positions 180 to 755 of the family's 1533-position model. Lineage: Bacteria; Bacillati; Bacillota; Bacilli; Lactobacillales; Enterococcaceae. The record is from RNAcentral.